This 74-nucleotide transfer RNA is filed under the name Candidatus Mycalebacterium zealandia. RNAcentral's name for it is "tRNA-Gln". It matches the Rfam family "tRNA". Rfam says of the family: Transfer RNA (tRNA) molecules are approximately 80 nucleotides in length. The record is from RNAcentral. Lineage: Bacteria; Pseudomonadati; Thermodesulfobacteriota; Candidatus Dadabacteria; Candidatus Nemesobacterales; Candidatus Mycalebacteriaceae.
UGGGGGAUAGUAUAACGGCAGUACCGCGGUCUCUGGAACCGCUAGUCUGGGUUCGAAUCCCAGUCCCCCAGCCA